RNAcentral lists this long non-coding RNA (214 nucleotides) under Physcomitrium patens. Its description in RNAcentral is "long non-coding RNA (PPAT_LNC001124)". Lineage: Eukaryota; Viridiplantae; Streptophyta; Bryopsida; Funariales; Funariaceae. The record is from RNAcentral.
UAAUCAAAUCCUAAACUCUAAAUCCUUAAUCAAAUCCUAACUAAAAUCUAACCAAUUCAACCUAAUUCUAGCAUAGUUUAGAACCUCAAUAUCUAUUCAUUAAACCAUUGAUCUUACUUAAAAUUUUAUAUACUUUUCAAAAACUAAAUUUUCAACAAGAAUAUGAAAUUUGAAGAAAAUUGAAGUUAUCAAAUAGAAGAAAAAUAUCAAAAUC